GCCCGAGCGUAGCUGCUAAGCAGCUGCGAGAGCCCUAUUAUUCCCCAAGGGGUUUUUCUUUGUUUCUUUCUUUCUUUCUUUCUUCUUUUUCCUCCCCUUUGAACUGGAAAAUGGCCCACUUCCCACUGGCGAAAACUCAUGAAAUUUGGCAGGACGACCGGGCCUGGUGAAAAAUUUGAUAUUCCGAAGUCGCCCAAACAAGAAAAUGCAAAAUGGCUCCAUAGCGCCCCCUAAGGUGAAAAUUCACACUAUUGACUGUCACGCCUGUACGCUUUGUCAAAAUGACACAAAAAUUGACACACACAUGUAUCUCAAUAAGAUCUACAAAAAAGUCAGUGCGGGCGUAUCUGUCAAAUGUACGGUUAAAGGGUUAUUUCGCAUUUUUUGCCGAUCCGCACACAUUGGAAUUUCGCUAACUCCUCCGAAGGCUUUCGUUCCACCGGCACCACAUUUGCUCGGGCCAAUCUACACCCCAUGGCCAUUAAAAGUUAUUCAAAUCAUGAUGCUGCACCCCACGGUUUAGGUUCUAGGGGGCGCCAAAGAUAACCCUAAGAUCCACAUAUUUAAAAGUCUUAUAACUUUUUAUUUUUGCCCUCACUGGCCUCCAAGUUUUCUAGGAUGAUGCAAUGUCCAGCCAUCAACACAUUUGUGAAGGAAUUUUUACUCCCCAAAAUAGCGCCCCCCUAUGGCAGGAGAAAAAAGUCCAUUUUUUCUUGUCCCCUAAGGUGAAAAUACACAUUGUUGGGUUUAACACCUGUACGCUUUGGCAAAAUGACACAAAAAUUGACACACACAUGUAUCUCAAUAAGAUCUACGAAAAAGUCAAUGCGCGCGUAUCUGUCAAAUGUACGGUGAAAGGGUUAUUCCGCAUUUUUUGCCGAUCCGCACACAUUGGAAUUUCGCUAACUCCUCCGAAGGCUUUCGUUCCACCGGCACCACAUUUGCUCAGGCCAAUCUACACCCCAUGGCCAUUAAAAGUUAUUCAAAUCAUGACGCUGCACCCCACGGUUUAGGUUCUAGGGGGCGCCAAAGAUAACCCUAAAAUCCACAUAUUUAAAAGUCUUAUAACUUUUUAUUUUUGUCCUCACUGGCCUCCAAGUUUUCUAGGAUGAUGCAAUGUCCAGCCAUCAACACAUUUGUGAAGGAAUUUUUACUCCCCAAAAGAGCGCCCCCCCCCAUGGCAGGAGAAAAAAGUCAAUUUUUUCUUGUCCCCUAAGGUGGAAAUUCACACUAUUGACUGUCACGCCUGUACGCUUUAUCAUAUUGACACAAAAAUUGACACACAUAUGUAUCUCAAUAAUAUCUACAAAAAAGUCAAUGCGCGCGUAUCUGUCAAAUGUACGGUUAAAGGGUUAUUCCGCAUUUUUUGCCGAUUCGCACACAUUGGAAUGUGGCUAACUCCUCCUAAGGCUUUCGUCCCACUGACACCAAAUUUGCUCAGGCCAAUCUACACCCCAUGGCCAUUCAAAGUUGUAAAAAUCAUGACGCUGCACCCCACGGUUUACGUUCUAGGGGGCGCCAAAGAUGACCCAAAAAUCCACAUUCUUAAAAGAAUCCACAUCCCCCCCCCCCCCCAAGGCAGGAGAAAAACUCAAGUUAACCCUGCCCAUCGCUCAAUGGCUCAAUCGCAUCGCUCUCCAGGCAACACCGUAAGGAGGAGCAACCUGCCAUUUCGAUAUAUCAUAGCUGUGUUUGUGCCCUCACUCAUGGUCCAGACUUUUUUCAAAUAGGACAUGAAGUUUGUCUGCAGCGAGUGUUUUGGUAGAAACUGCGCCUCCCAUUCAUUAUAAUGGGAAAUGACCACAGACAAGUGCGCACACCAUCUUUGGACCUUGAGUGUGACGCGAUCGGGAGGGGGAGGCGGUCGCGCUGGGGGCGGCGCGACGCGGCUCGGGCCCGACAGUGCCCCACCGGGGCCCUAGUUCUUAUUUUUCCUCCUCUUUGAAGGGGAAAAUGGCCCACUUCCCACUGGCGAAAACUCAUGAAAUUUGGCAGGACGACCAGGCCUGGUGAAAAAUUCGAUAUUUUGAAGUCGCCCAAAUAAUAAAAUGCAAAAUGGCUCCAUAGCGCCCCCUAAGGUGAAAAUUCACACUAUUGACUGUCACGCCUGUACGCUUUGUCAUAUUGACACAAAAAUUGACACACACAUGUAUCUCAAUAAGAUCUACAAAAAAGUCAGUGCGGGAAUAUCUGUCAAAUUUACGGUUAAAGGGUUAUUUCACAUUUUUUGCCGAUCCGCACACAUUGGAAUUUCGCUAACUCCUCCGAAGGCUUUCGUUCCACCGGCACCACAUUUGCUCAGGCCAAUCUACACUCCAUGGCCAUUAAAAGUUGUACAAAUCAUGACGCUGCACCCCACGGUUAAGGUUCUAGAUGGCGCAAAAUAUAACCCAAAAAUCCACAGCCUUGAAAGUCUUAUAACUUUUUAUUUUUUUCCUCACUGGCCUCCAAGUUUUCUAGGAUUAUGCAAUGUCCAGCCAUCAACACAUUUGUGAAGGAAUUUUUACUCCCCAAAAGAGCGCCCCCCCAUGGCAGGAGAAAAAAGUCCAUUUUUUCUUGUCCCCUAAGGUGAAAAUUCACAUUGUUGAGUGUCACGCCUGUACGCUUUGUCAUAUUGACACAAAAUUUGACAAUCACGUGUAUCUGAAUAAGAUCUACGAAAAAGUAAAUUCGCGCAUAUCUGUAAAAUGUACGGUUAAAGGGCUAUUUAGCAUUUUUUGCCGAUUCGCACACAUUGGAAUGUGGCUAACUCCUCCUAAGGUCUUCGUCCCACUGACACCAAAUUUGCUCAGGCCAAUCUACACGCGAUGGCCAUUCAAAGUUGUAAAAAUCAUGACGCUGCACCCCACGGUUUACGUUCUAGGGGGCGCCAAAGAUGACCCAAAAAUCCACAUUCCACACAUUGGAAUGUGGCUAACUCCUCCUAAAGCUUUCGUCCCACCAACACCAAAUUUGCUCAGGCCAAUCUACACCCCAUGGCCUUUCAAAGUUGUACAAAUCAUGACGCUGCACCCCACGGUUUAGGUUCAAGGGGGCGCCAGAGAGGACCCAAAUAUCCACAUUCUUAAAAGUCUUGUAACUUUUUAUUUUUGUCCUCACUGGCCUCCAAGUUUUCUAGGAUGAUGCAAUGUUCAGCCAUCAACACAUUUGUGAAGGAAUUUUUACUCCCCAAAAGAGCGCCCCCCUAUGGCAGUAGAAAAAGUCAAGUUUUUCCUGCCCAUCACUCAAUGGCUCAAACGCAUCGCUCUCUCGGCAAAACCGAAAGGAGGAGCAACUUGCCAUUUGGAUAUAUACUAGCUGUGUUUGUGCCCUCACUCAUGGUCCAGACUUUUUUCAAAAAGGGCCAGGAGUUUGUCUGCAGCGAGCGUUUUGGUAGAAACUGCGCCUCCCAUCCAUUAUAAUGGUAAAUGACCACAGACAAGUGCGCACACCAUCUUUGGACCUUGAGUGUGACGGGAUCGGGAGGGGGAGGCGGUCCCGCUGGGGGUGGCGCAACAUGGCUCGGGCCCGCCAGUGCCCCAACGGGGCCCUAGUUAGGGCCCGAGCGUAGCUGCUAAGCAGCUGCGAGAGCCCUCUUGUUCCUGCAUGUUUCCUUCUUUUGUUAUUAGGGCCCGAGCGUAGCUGCUAAGCAGCUGCGAGAGCCCUCUUGUUCCUGAUGGAUUCUUCUUUCGUUAUUUUUCCUCCGCUUUAAACUGGAAAAUGGCCCACUUCCCACUGGCGAAAACUCAGGAAAUUUGGCAGGACGACCGGGCCUGGUGAAAAAUUCGAUAUUCUGAAGUCGCCCAAACAAAAAAAUGAAAAAUGGCUCCAUAGCGCCCCCUAUGGUGAAAACUCACCUGACGCCUGUACGCUUUGUCAAAAUGACACAAAAAUUGACACACAUGUGUAUCUCAAUAAGAUCUACAAAAAAGUCAGUGCGGGCGUAUCUGUCAAAUGUACCGUUAAAGGGCUAUUUCGCAUUUUUUGCCGAUCCGCACACAUUGGAAUUUCGCUAACUCCUCCGAAGGCUUUCCUUCCACCGGCACCAAAUUUGCUCAGGCCAAUCUACACCCCAUGGCCAUUAAAAGUUGUACAAAUCAUGACGCUGCACCCCACGGUUUAGGUUCUAGGGGGCGCCAAAGAUAACCCAAAAAGCCACAUUCUUAAAAGUCUUAUAACUUUUUAUUUUUGUCCUCACUGGCCUCCAAGUUUUCUAGGAUGAUGCAAUGUCCAGCCAUCAACACAUUUGUGAAGGAAUUUUUACUCCCCAAAAGAGCGCCCCCCCAUGGCAGUAGAAAAAAGUCCAUUUUUUCUUGUCCCCUAAGGUGAAAAUACACAUUGUUGAGUGUCACGCCUAAACGCUUUGUCAUAUUGACACAAAAUUUGACAAUCACGUGUAUCUCAAUAAGAUCUACGAAAAAGUCAAAGAGCGCGUAUCUGUAUAAUGUACGGUAAAAGGGCUAUUUUGCAUUUUUUGCCGAUCCGCACACAUUGGAAUUUCACUAACUCCUCCGAAGGCUUUCAUUCCACCGACACCAAAUUUGCUCAGGCCAAUCUACACCCCAUGGCCAUUAAAAGUUGUACAAAUCAUGAUGCUGCACCCCACGGUUUACGUUCUAGGGGGCGCCAAAGAUGACCCAAAUAUCCACAUUCUUAAAAGUCUUAUAACUUUUUAUUUUUGUCCUCACUGGCCUCCAAGUUUUCUUGGACGAUGCAAUGUCCAGCCAUCAACACAUUUGUGAAGGAAUUUUUACUCCCCAAAAGAGCGCCCCCCAUGGCAGGAGAAAAAAGUCCAUUUUUUCUUGUCCCCUAAGGUGAAAAUACGCACUGUUGAGUGUCACGCCUGUACGCUUUGUCAAAAUGACACAAAAAUUGACACACACAUGUAUCUCAAUAAGAUCUACGAAAAAGUCAAUGCACGCGUAUCUGUCAAAUGUACGGUUAAAGGGUUAUUCCGCAUUUUUUGCUGAUCCGCACACAUUGGAAUGUGGCUAACUCCUCUGAAGGCUUUCGUUCCAUCGGCACCAAAUUUGCUCAGGCCAAUCUACACCCCAUGGCCAUUGAAAGUUAUUCAAAUCAUGACGCUGCACCCCACAGUUUACGUUCUAGGGGGCGCCAAAGAUGACACAAAUAUCCACAUAUUUAAAAGUCUUAUAACUUUUUAUUUUCGUCCUCACUGGCCUCCAAGUUUUCUAGGAUGAUGCAAUGUCCAAAUAUCCACAUUCUUAAAAGAAUCUACAUCCCCCCCCCCAUCCCCCAAGUUUUUCCUGCCCAUCACUCAAUGGCUCAAUCGCAUCGCUCUCCCGGCAACACCGUAAUGAGGAGCAACUUGCCGUUUGGAUAUAUCCUAGCUGUGUUUGUGCCCUCACUCAUGGUCCAGACUUUUUUCAAAUAGGACAUGUAGUUUGUCUGCAGCGAGUGUUUUGGUAGAAACUGCGCCUCCCAUUCAUUAUAAUGGGAAAUGACCACAGACAAGUGCGCACACCAUCUUUGGACCUUGAGUGUGACGCGAUCGGGAGGGGGAGGCGGUCGCGCUGGGGGCGGCUCGACGCGGCUCGGGCCCGACAGUGCCCCACCGGGGCCCUAGUUAUUAUUAUUAUUUUUCCUCCCCUUUGAACUGGAAAAUGGCCCACUUCCCACUGGCGAAAACUCAUGAAAUUUGGCAGGACUACCGGGCCUGGUGAAAAAUUUGAUAUUCCGAAGUCGCCCAAACAAGAAAAUGCAAAAUGGCUCCAUAGCGCCCCCUAAGGUGAAAAUUCACACUAUUGACUGUCACGCCUGUACGCUUUGUCAAAAUGACACAAAAAUUGACACACACAUGUAUCUCAAUAAGAUCUACAAAAAAGUCAAUGCGCGCGUAUCUGUCAAAUGUACGGUUAAAGGGUUAUUUCGCAUUUUUUGCCGAUCCGCACACAUCGGAAUUUCGCUAACUCCUCCGAAGGCUUUCGUUCCACCGGCACCACAUUUGCUCAGGCCAAUCUACACCCCAUGGCCAUUUAAAGUUAUUCAAAUCAUGACGCUGCACCCCACGGUUUAGGUUCUAGGGGGCGCCAAAGAUAACCCUAAGAUCCACAUAUUUAAAAGUCUUAUAACUUUUUAUUUUUGCCCUCACUGGCCUCCAAGUUUUCUAGGAUGAUGCAAUGUCCAGCCAUCAACACAUUUGUGAAGGAAUUUUUACUCGCCAAAAGAGCGCCCCCCCCCCCCAUGGCAGGAGAAAAAAGUCCAUUUUUUCUUGUCCCCUAAGGUGAAAAUACACAUUGUUGAGUGUCACGCCUGUACGCUUUGGCAAAAUGACACAAAAAUUGACACACACAUGUAUCUCAAUAAGAUCUACAAAAAAGUCAGUGCGGGCGUAUCUGUCAAAUGUACGGUUAAAGGGUUAUUGCGCAUUUUUUGCCGAUCCGCACACAUUGGAAUUUCGCUAACUCCUCCGAAGGCUUUCGUUCCACCGGCACCACAUUUGCUCAGGCCAAUCUACACCCCAUGGCCAUUAAAAGUUAUUCAAAUCAUGACGCUGCACCCCACGGUUUAGGUUCUAGGGGGCGCCAAAGAUAACCCUAAAAUCCACAUAUUUCAAAGUCUUAUAACUUUUUAUUUUUGCCCUCACUGGCCUCCAAGUUUUCUAGGAUGAUGCAAUGUCCAGCCAUCAACACAUUUGUGAAGGAAUUUUUACUCCCCAAAAGAGCGCCCCCCCAUGGCAGGAGAAAAAAGUCCAUUUUUUCUUGUCCCCUAAGGUGAAAAUACGCACUGUUGAGUGUCACGCCUGUACGCUUUGUCAAAAUGACACAAAAAUUGACACACACAUGUAUCUCAAUAAGAUCUACGAAAAAGUCAAUGCACGCGUAUCUGUCAAAUGUACGGUUAAAGGGUUAUUCCGCAUUUUUUGCUGAUCCGCACACAUUGGAAUGUGGCUAACUCCUCUGAAGGCUUUCGUUCCAUCGGCACCAAAUUUGCUCAGGCCAAUCUACACCCCAUGGCCAUUGAAAGUUAUUCAAAUCAUGACGCUGCACCCCACAGUUUACGUUCUAGGGGGCGCCAAAGAUGACACAAAUAUCCACAUAUUUAAAAGUCUUAUAACUUUUUAUUUUCGUCCUCACUGGCCUCCAAGUUUUCUAGGAUGAUGCAAUGUCCAAAUAUCCACAUUCUUAAAAGAAUCUACAUCCCCCCCCCCCCAUCCCCCAAGUUUUUCCUGCCCAUCACUCAAUGGCUCAAUCGCAUCGCUCUCCCGGCAACACCGUAAUGAGGAGCAACUUGCCGUUUGGAUAUAUCCUAGCUGUGUUUGUGCCCUCACUCAUGGUCCAGACUUUUUUCAAAUAGGACAUGUAGUUUGUCUGCAGCGAGUGUUUUGGUAGAAACUGCGCCUCCCAUUCAUUAUAAUGGGAAAUGACCACAGACAAGUGCGCACACCAUCUUUGGACCUUGUGUGUGACGCGAUCGGGAGGGGGAGGCGGUCGCGCUGGGGGCGGCUCGACGCGGCUCGGGCCCGACAGUGCCCCACCGGGGCCCUAGUUAUUAUUAUUAUUUUUCCUCCCCUUUGAACUGGAAAAUGGCCCACUUCCCACUGGCGAAAACUCAUGAAAUUUGGCAGGACUACCGGGCCUGGUGAAAAAUUUGAUAUUCCGAAGUCGCCCAAACAAGAAAAUGCAAAAUGGCUCCAUAGCGCCCCCUAAGGUGAAAAUUCACACUAUUGACUGUCACGCCUGUACGCUUUGUCAAAAUGACACAAAAAUUGACACACACAUGUAUCUCAAUAAGAUCUACAAAAAAGUCAAUGCGCGCGUAUCUGUCAAAUGUACGGUUAAAGGGUUAUUUCGCAUUUUUUGCCGAUCCGCACACAUCGGAAUUUCGCUAACUCCUCCGAAGGCUUUCGUUCCACCGGCACCACAUUUGCUCAGGCCAAUCUACACCCCAUGGCCAUUUAAAGUUAUUCAAAUCAUGACGCUGCACCCCACGGUUUAGGUUCUAGGGGGCGCCAAAGAUAACCCUAAGAUCCACAUAUUUAAAAGUCUUAUAACUUUUUAUUUUUGCCCUCACUGGCCUCCAAGUUUUCUAGGAUGAUGCAAUGUCCAGCCAUCAACACAUUUGUGAAGGAAUUUUUACUCCCCAAAAGAGCGCCCCCCCAUGGCAGGAGAAAAAAGUCCAUUUUUUCUUGUCCCCUAAGGUGAAAAUACACAUUGUUGAGUGUAACACCUGUACGCUUUGGCAAAAUGACACCAAAAUUGAGACACACAUGUAUCUCAAUAAGAUCUACAAAAAAGUCAAUGCGCACGUAUCUGUCAAAUGUACGGUUAAAGGGUUAUUCCGCAUUUUUUGCCGAUCCGCACACAUUGGAAUUUCGCUAACUCCUCCGAAGGCUUUCGUUCCACCGGCACCACAUUUUCUCAGGCCAAUCUACACCCCAUGGCCAUUAAAAGUUAUUCAAAUCAUGACGCUGCACCCCACGGUUUAGGUUCUAGGGGGCGCCAAAGAUAACCGUAAAAUCCACAUAUUUAAAAGUCUUAUAACUUUUUAUUUUUGUCCCCACUGGCCUCCAAGUUUUCUAGGAUGAUGCAAUGUCCAGCCAUCAACACAUUUGUGAAGGAAUUUUUACUCGCCAAAAGAGCGCCCCCCCAUGGCAGGAGAAAAAAGUCCAUUUUUUCUUGUCCACUAAGGUGAAAAUACACAUUGUUGAGUGCUACGCCUGUAUGUUUUGUCGUAUUGACACAAAAUUUUACAUACACGUGUCUUUCAAUAAGAUCUUCGAAAAAGUCAAUGGCCACGUAUCUGUAAAAUGUACGGUUAAAGGGUUAUUUCGCAUUUUUUGCAGAUUCGCACACAUUGGAAUUUCGCUAACUCCUCCGAAGGCUUUCGUUCCACCGGCACCACAUUUGCUCAGGCCAAUCUACACCCCAUGGCCAUUAAAAGUUAUUCAAAUCAUGACGCUGCACCCCACGGUUUAGGUUCUAGGGGGCGCCAAAUAUAACCCUAAAAUCCACAUAUUUAAAAGUCUUAUAACUUUUUAUUUUUGUCCUCACUGGCCUCCAUGUUUUCUAGGAUGAUGCAAUGUCCAGCCAUCAACACAUUUGUGAAGGAGUUUUUUCUCGUUAAAAGAGCGCCCCCCAUGGCAGGAGAAUAAAGUCAAGUUUUUCCUGUUCAUCAUUCAAUGGCUCAAACGCACUGCUCUCUCGGCAAAAGCGAAAGGAGGAGCAACUUGCCAUUUGGAUAUAUCUUAGCUGUGUUUGUGCCCUCACUCAUGGUCCAGACUUUUUUCAAAUAGGACAUGGAGUUUUUCUGCAGCGAGCGUUUUGGUAGAAACUGCGCCUCCCGUUCAUUAUAAUGGUAAAUGACCACAAACAAGUGCGCACACCAUCUUUGGACCUUGAGUGUGACGCGAUCGGGUGGGGGAGGCGGUCGCGCUGGGGGCGGCGUGACACGGCUCGGGCCCGCCAGUGCCCCAACGGGGCCCUAGUUAUUAUUUUUCCUCCCCUUUGAACUGGAAAAUGGCCCACUUCCCACUGGCGAAAACUCAUGAAAUUUGGCAGGACGACCGGGCCUGGUGAAAAAUUUGAUAUUCCGAAGUCGCCCAAACAAGAAAAUGAGAAAAUGGCUCCAUAGCGCCCCCUAAGGUGAAAAUUCACACUAUUGACUGUCACGCGUGUACGCUUUGUCCAAAUGACACAAAAAUUGACACACACAUGUAUCUCAAUAAGAUCUACAAAAAAGUCAGUGCGGGCGUAUCUGUCAAAUGUACGGUUAAAGGGUUAUUUCGCAUUUUUUGCCGUUCCGCACACAUUGGAAUUUCGCUAACUCCUCCGAAGGCUUUCGUUCCACCGGCACCACAUUUGCUCAGGCCAAUCUACACCCCAUGGCCAUUAAAAGUUAUUCAAAUCAUGACGCUGCACCCCACGGUUUAGGUUCUAGGGGGCGCCAAAGAUAACCCUAAGAUCCACAUAUUUAAAAGUCUUAUAACUUUUUAUUUUUGCCCUCACUGGCCUCCAAGUUUUCUAGGAUGAUGCAAUGUCCAGCCAUCAACACAUUUGUGAAGGAAUUUUUACUCCCCAAAAGAGCGCCCCCCCAUGGUAGGAGAAAAAAGUCCAUUUUUUCUUGUCCCCUAAGGUAAAAAUACACAUUGUUGAGUGUCACGCCUGAACGCUUUGUCAUAUUGACACAAAAAUUGACAAUUAUGUGUAUCUCAAUUAGAUCUACGAAAAAGUCAAAGAGCGCGCAUCUGUAUAAUGUACGGUUAAAGGGCUAUUUUGCAUUUUUUGCCGAUUCGCACACAUUGGAAUGUGGCUAUCUCCUCCUAAGGCUUUCGUCCCACCGAUACCAAAUUUGCUCAGGGCAAUCUACACCCCAUGCCCAUUCAAAGUUGUAAAAAUCAUGACGCUGCACCCCACGGUUUACGUUCUAGGGGGCGCCAAAGAUGACCCAAAAAUCCACAUUCUUAAAAGUCAUUUUGGCCACUGCAGGAGUACAGAGUACUGCAGUUCUAGGGGGCGCCAAAGAUGACCCAAAAAUCCACAUUCUUAAAAGUCUUUUUGGCCACUGCAGGAGUACAGAGUACUGCAGGAUACACACACAUAUACACACACGCCAACAUACACACACACACACACACACACACACACACACACACACACACACACACAUACACACACACACACACUCAGAGUCUGUUUUUUAGCACCUGCAAAAACAUGCUGUUUACAUAUUUGACAAGAAUGCAGAGGCUUUCUUUUGCCCCUGAAAAAAAUCAAAUUUCAAACACAACUUGACUGUUCAUUUCUCCAAAAGACAACCAUGAAGCUCCAUUUCAAACCUGAAGCAGAUAGUUGGUGCAUGUGUACAGUAACCUGAGGGGAGUGAGGUGACUAUUUCUGAGGAGAACAUGAGCAGUGAAGAUUCACCUUGGAGCUAGAACAGGGACGUGCACAUGAUUAUACAGGGGCAGGGGCUCAAGUUUUUUCCAGUCAUUUAUACAAUAUGGAAAUUAAUGUGAAAUUAAACCACAAAUAUGUGUGAUGAACUGUUUUUAAAACUUAAACUUCAAAUAAAAAUUGUAAACUUCAAAACAUAUGCAAAUUUUUAACAAAGAACAUAGUAAUUUACCUCUAUUUACAUCAAAAUGCAGGCAAUGGCCCAGGCGUUCUUUGUAAAAUUAUUUACAAAACACUGUAUAGUCUCACAAAUGUCACUUUUUAUUUAUGCCACUACAAAAAAACAUGAUGUAAAUGAUGCAUGAUGUAAAACAUGAUGUAAAAAACUUGUGUAGAUCCUCCUCUAUGUCAGUCCAUGUGUAAUUUUUCCAUAAUUCUUUGUUUUUUGCAGCAUUUUUGUUCGUGUAACUGCAGAUUGUGCUGACAGUGUCUAUGGCACAAAAAAAAAAAUAAGUUAAAUGCCUCGUCAGGAACCCCUGGUGGUCUCUGAGGGUGAAACCUGCUAACUGCUGCAGCUCUGUCAGCUUCAGUCUCCCAUGCAGAGCUCUGAGCGCAUGUGUGGCUCUGCACCCUUAGCAGCGUUGCUAACUCCUCAGUAAGGAAAGCCUGCUUCAUGUCAGAGUCUCUAAACUCCAGAAGAAGUCGAUAAAAGUCCCUUUCUUUCUAAAAAAAAGUCGUUAGGGUGUCUGAAAAGUCAUUGAAUCUAACAACAAAGUCGCUAGGUUUGCAACUACGUGUCCCAGACUGCAUCCCUGCUGAGAGUCCCUCCCUCCCUUCUCAUGUUGCAGGAAGAACGUAAGCGCCCGCCCCUUGUCAAUCAGUCACCAUAUAAUUUUGGAUUGGUUGUUGUGGUGAAGUUUUCCACCAAUAGGAGAGAUGUUGUGGUGUGUUUUUUUUUUCUUUUGGCAAGCCUUUUCCGCCUGUAAGACCUGUCGCUAAUGUCUGCAUGGUAUGUUUUCCUGUCUCAUACAGCGCGAUCGAGCGCCGAACGUGAUCAAAAUAAGCAGAAAAAAAGUAUCGCGGACAUAAUUUAUCAUAACUCUGGUUUUAUUUGGCCUAUCAACACAAUUUAAAAACUGGUAUAUAGGUUGAGGUCCUCACUUUUGAGAUAAGUUGAAACGGAGAGUCAACGAGGCUCCGUCUUGCAGCUACAUCCGGUUAAAUAUGUCAUGUGACUUGAACGCACACACAGACACACACACACGCACACACACACACACACACACACACACACUCAGAGUCUGGUUUUUAGCACCUGCAAAAACAUGCUAUUUACAUAUUUGACAAGAAUGCAGAGGCUCCUUUUGCCCCUGAAAAAAAUCAAAUUUCAAACACAACUUGACUGGUCAUUUCUCCAAAAGACAACCAUGAAGCUCCAUCCAAACCUGAAGCAGGCAGUUGGUGCAUGUGUACAGUAACCUGAGGGGAGUGAGGUGAGUGCUUCUGAGGAGAACAUGAGCAGUGAAGAUUCACCUUGGAGCUAGAACAGAGACAUGCACAUGAUUAUACAGGGGCAGGGGCUCAAGUUUUUUCCAGUCGUUUAUACAAUAUGGAAAUUAAUGUGAAAUUAAAACACAAAGUAUUAAUAGAAAGGUAAUGACUGUCCUGUGUAGGUGACAGUGAUAUCCAAUAGGCUAGGCACUCACGAGGCUGGCUGUGGCAAGUGUAAGUGAAAGCAACACGCACUGGCAGGAAGAACAGCAAACGCCGAUGAAGGAAAAGGGUCUUUGCAGUGAUGGGCGUUAACAGAGAGGGCGAUGGCCAGAGGACACAAAUGGGACGGGGAGGCAGCACGUUGGGGGGGGGGGGGGGGGAGAGACGCGACACGGCUCGGGCCCGCCAGUGCCCCAACGGGGUCCUAGUUAGGGCCCGAGCCAGCUGCAGAGCAGCCGGGCGUAGGCCCUAUUAUUCCCCAAGUGGUUUUUCUUUGUUUCUUUCUUUAGGGCCCGAGCGUAGCUGCUAAGCAGCUGCGAGAGCCCUCUUGUUCCUGCAUGUUUCCUUCUUUUUAGGGCCCGAGCGUAGCUGCUAAGCAGCUGCGAGAGCCCUCUUGUUCCUGCAUGUUUCCUUCUUUAGGGCCCGAGCGUAGCUGCUAAGCAGCUGCGAGAGCCCUAUUAUUCCCCAAGUGGUUUUUCUUUGUUUCUUUCUUUCUUUCUUCUUUUUCCUCCCCUUUGAACUGGAAAAUGGCCCACUUCCCACUGGCGAAAACUCAUGAAAUUUGGCAGGACGACCGGGCCUGGUGAAAAAUUCGAUAUUCUGAAGUCGCCCAAACAAUAAAAUGCAAAAUGGCUCCAUAGCGCCCCCUAAGGUGGAAAUUCACACUAUUGACUGUCACGCCUGUACGCUUUGUCAUAUUGACACAAAAAUUGACACACAUAUGUAUCUCAAUAAGAUCUACAAAAAAGUCAGUGCGGCCGUAUCUGUCAAAAUUACGGUUAAAGGGUUAUUUCGCAUUUUUUGCCGAUCCGCACACAUUGGAAUUUCGCUAACUUCUCCGAAGGCUUUCGUUCCACCGGCACCACAUUUGCUCAGGCCAAUCUACACCCCGUGGCCAUUAAAAGUUAUCAAAAUCAUGACGCUUCACCACAAGGUUUAGGUUCUAGGGGGCGCCAAAGAUAACACUAAAAUCCACAUAUUUAAAAGUCUUAUAACUUUUUAUUUUUGUCCUCACUGGCCUCCAAGUUUUCUAGGAUGAUGCAAUGUCCAGCCAUCAACACAUUUGUGAAGGAAUUUUUACUCCCCAAAAGAGCGCCCCCCAUGGCAAGAGAAAAAAGUCAAUUUUUUCUUGUCCCCUAAGGUGAAAAUACACAUUGUUGAGUGUCACGCCUAUACGCUUUGUCAAAAUGACACAAAAAUUGACACACACAUGUAACUCAAUAAGAUCUACGAAAAAGUCAAUGCGCGCGUAUCUGUCAAAUGUACGGUUAAAGGGUUAUUCCGCAUUUUUUGCCGAUCCGCACACAUUGGAAUGUGGCUAACUCCUCCUAAGGCUUUCGUUCCACCGGCACCACAUUUGCUCAGGCCAAUCUACACCCCAUGGCCAUUAGAAGUUAUCAAAAUCAUGACGCUGCACCCCAAGGUUUAGGUUCUAGGGGGCGCCAAAGAUAACACUAAAAUCCACAUAUUUAAAAGUCUUAUAACUUUUUAUUUUUGUCCUCACUGGCCUCCAAGUUUUCUAGGAUGAUGCAAUGUCCAGCCAUCAACACAUCUGUGAAGGAAUUUUUACUCGCCAAAAGAGCGCCCCCCCCCAUGGCAGGAGAAAAAAGUCCAUUUUUUCUUGUCCCCUAAGGUGAAAAUACACAUUGUUGAGUGUCACGCCUGUACGCUUUGGCAAAAUGACACAAAAAUUGACACACACAUGUAUCUCAAUAAGAUCUACAAAAAAGUCAGUGCGGGCGUAUCUGUCAAAUGUACGGUUAAAGGGUUAUUGCGCAUUUUUUGCCGAUCCGCACACAUUGGAAUUUCGCUAACUCCUCCGAAGGCUUUCGUUCCACCGGCACCACAUUUGCUCAGGCCAAUCUACACCCCAUGGCCAUUAAAAGUUAUUCAAAUCAUGAUGCUGCACCCCAUGGUUUAGGUUCUAGGGGGCGCCAAAAAUAACCCAAAAAUCCACAUUCUUAAAUGUUUUAACUUUUUUUUUUUGUCCUCACUGGCCUCCAAGUUUUCUAGGAUGAUGCAAUGUCCAGCCAUCAACACAUUUGUGAAGGAAUUUUUACUCCCCAAAAGAGCGCCCCCCAUGGUAGGAGAAAAAAGUCAAUUUUUUCUUGUCCCCUUACAUGAAAAUACACAUUGUUGAGUGUCACGCCUGAACGCUAUGUCAUAUUGACACAAAAAUUGACAAUCAUGUGUAUCUCAAUUAGAUCUACGAAAAAGUCAAAGAGCGCGUAUCUGUAUAAUGUACGGUUAAAGGGCUAUUUUGCAUUUUUUGCCGAUUCGCACACAUUGGAAUGUGGCUAACUCCUCCUAAAUCUUUUGUCCCAUCGGCUUCAAAUUUGCUCAGGUCAAUCUACACCCUAUGGCCAUUCAAAGUUGUACAAAUCAUGACGCUGCACCCCACAGUUUACGUUCUAGGGGGCGCCAAAGAGGACCCAAAUAUCCACAUUUUUAAAAGUCUUAUAACUUUUUAUUUUUGUCCUCACUGGCCUCCAAGUUUUCUAGGAUGAUGCAAUGUCCAGCCAUCAACACAUUUGUGAAGGAAUUUUUCUCCCCAAAAGAGCGCCCCCCAUGGCAGGAGAAAAAGUCAAGUUUUUCCUGCCCAUCGCUCAAUGGCUCAAACGCAUCGCUCUCUCGGCAAAACCGAAAGGAGGAGCAACUUGCCAUUUGGAUAUAUACUAGCUGUGUUUGUGCCCUCACUCAUGGUCCAGACUUUUUUCAAAAAGGACAUGGAGUUUGUCUGCAGCGAGCGUUUUGGUAGAAACUGCGCCUCCCAUUCAUUAUAAUGGUAAAUGACCACUGACAAGUGCGCACACCAUCUUUGGACCUUGAGUGUGACGCGAUCGGGAGGGGUAGGCGGUCGCGCUGGGGGCGGCGCGACACGGCUCGGGCCCGCCAGUGCCCCAACGGGGCCCUAGUUUGUUAUUAGGGCCCGAGCGUAGCUGCUAAGCAGCUGCGAGAGCCCUAUUAUUCCCCAAGUGGUUUUUUAGGGCCCGAGCCAGCUGCAGAGCAGCCGGGCGUAGAGCCCUAUUAUUCCUGUAUAGGUUUUUCUUUCUUCUUUCUUUCUUUCUUUCUUUCUUCUUAUUUUUCCUCCCCUUUGAAGGGGAAAAUGGCCCACUUCCCACUGGCGAAAACUCAGGAAAUUUGGCAGGACGACCGGGCCCGGUGAAAAAUUCGAUAUUCUGAAGUCGCCCAAACAAUAAAAUGCAAAAUGGCUCCAUAGCGCCCCCUAAGGCGAAAAUUCACACUAUUGACUGUCACGCCUGUACGCUUUGUCAUUUUGACACAAAAAUUGACACACACGUGUAUCUCAAUACGGUCUACGAAAAAGUCAGCGCGGGCGCAUCUGUGAAAUGUACGGUUAGAGGGUUAUUUCGCAUUUUUUGCCGAUCUGCACACAUUGGAAUUUCGCUAACUCCUCCGAAGGCUUUCGUUCCACCGGCACCACAUUUGCUCAGGCCAAUCUACACCCCAUGGCCAUUAAAAGUUGUACAAAUCAUGACGCUGCACCCCACGGUUUACGUUCUAGGGGGCGCCAAAGAUAACCCAAAAAUCCACAGUCUUAAAAGUCUUAUAACUUUUUAUUUUUGUCCUCACUGGCCUCCAAGUUUUCUAGGAUGAUGCAAUGUCCAGCCAUCAACACAUUUGUGAAGGAAUUUUUACUCACGAAAAGAGCGCCCCCCCAUGGCAGGAGAAAAAAGUCCAUUUUUUCUUGUCCCCUAAGGUGAAAAAACACAUUGUUGACUGUCACGCCUAUACGCUUUGUCAAAAUGAUACAAAAUUUGACACACACGUGUAUCUCAAUAAGAUCUACGAAAAAGUCAAUGUGCACGUAUCUGUAAAAUGUACGGUUAAAGGGUUAUUUCGCAUUUUUUCCCGAUCCGCACACAUUGGAAUUUCGCUAACUCCUCCGAAGGCUUUCGUUCCACCGGCACCACAUUUGCUCAGGCCAAUCUACACCCCAUGGCCAUUAAAAGUUGUACAAAUCAUGACGCUGCACCCCACGGUUUACGUUCUAGGGGGCGCCAAAGAUAACCCAAAAAUCCACAGUCUUAAAAGUCUUAUAACUUUUUAUUUUUGUCCUCACUGGCCUCCAAGUUUUCUAGGAUGAUGCAAUGUCCAGCCAUCAACACAUUUGUGAAGGAAUUUUUACUCACGAAAAGAGCGCCCCCCCAUGGCAGGAGAAAAAAGUCCAUUUUUUCUUGUCCCCUAAGGUGAAAAAACACAUUGUUGACUGUCACGCCUAUACGCUUUGUCAAAAUGAUACAAAAUUUGACACACACGUGUAUCUCAAUAAGAUCUACGAAAAAGUCAAUGUGCACGUAUCUGUAAAAUGUACGGUUAAAGGGUUAUUUCGCAUUUUUUCCCGAUCCGCACACAUUGGAAUUUCGCUAACUCCUCCGAAGGCUUUAGUUCCACCGCCACCAAAUUUGCUCAGGCCAAUCUACACCCCAUGGCCAUUAAAAGUUGUAAAAAUCAUGACGCUGCACUCCACGGUUUAGGUUCUAGGGGGCGCCAAAGAUAACCCAAAGAUCCACAUUCUUAAUAGUCUUAUAACUUUUUAUUUUUGUCCUCACUGGCCUCCAAGUUUUCUAGGAUGAUGCAAUGUCCAGCCAUCAACACAUUUGUAAAGGAAUUUUUACUCCCGAAAAGGGCGCCCCCCCAUGGCAGGAGAAAAAAGUCCAUUUUUUCUUGUCCCCUAAG
RNAcentral lists this long non-coding RNA (17249 nucleotides) under Xyrichtys novacula (pearly razorfish). The record is from RNAcentral. Lineage: Eukaryota; Metazoa; Chordata; Actinopteri; Labriformes; Labridae.